GUUCAUGCUUUUACAGUAUGAAAAUUGGUGAUUUAUAAUAACUUAGCAAAUCGCAAAGUGAAAACAGGCGAUAAAUCAUUCAAGUUUCUGACCUAUCAGCUUUCGACGGUAUGGUAUUGGCUUACCGUGGCAGUGACGGUUAACGGGGGAUUAGGGUUCGAUUCCGGAGAGGGAGCCUGAGAAACGGCUACCACAUCUAAGGAAGGCAGCAGGCGCGCAAAUUACCCAAUUCUAACAGUUUGAGAGAGGUAGUAACAAGAAAUAACAAUACAAGGCAGUUAAAAUGCUUUGUAAUUGGAAUGAUAGAAAUUUAAACCCUUUUUAAAGUAUCAAUUGGAGGGCAAGUCUGGUGCCAGCAGCCGCGGUAAUUCCAGCUCCAAUAGCGUAUAUUAAAAUUGUUGCAGUUAAAAAGCUCGUAGUUGAAGUUCUGCUGAAAGUAACCGGUCUGCUUUUAAUAAAAGUGGUAUCUUGGUAUGUAUUUAGCAAUGAUGUCCUUUGAAGUGUUUUUUACUUUAUUGUAAUAAAGCAUAUUCAGGACUUUUACUUUGAGAAAAUUAGAGUGUUUCUAGCAGGCUAACGCUUUGAAUACUGCAGC
This 595-nucleotide ribosomal RNA is filed under the name Hepatozoon canis. RNAcentral describes it as "bacterial SSU rRNA". It matches the Rfam family "Eukaryotic small subunit ribosomal RNA", at positions 224 to 808 of the family's 1831-position model. Lineage: Eukaryota; Apicomplexa; Hepatozoidae. The record is from RNAcentral.